CGAGCGAGAGAGAGCUUGCUUUCUCGAGCGAGUGGCGAACGGGUGAGUAACGCGUGAGGAACCUGCCUCAAAGAGGGGGACAACAGUUGGAAACGACUGCUAAUACCGCAUAAGCCCACGACCCGGCAUCGGGUAGAGGGAAAAGGAGCAAUCCGCUUUGAGAUGGCCUCGCGUCCGAUUAGCUAGUUGGUGAGGUAACGGCCUACCAAGGCGACGAUCGGUAGCCGGACUGAGAGGUUGAACGGCCACAUUGGGACUGAGACACGGCCCAGACUCCUACGGGAGGCAGCAGUGGGGAAUAUUGCACAAUGGGGGAAACCCUGAUGCAGCGACGCCGCGUGGAGGAAGAAGGUCUUCGGAUUGUAAACUCCUGUUGUUGAGGAAGAUAAUGACGGUACUCAACAAGGAAGUGACGGCUAACUACGUGCCAGCAGCCGCGGUAAAACGUAGGUCACAAGCGUUGUCCGGAAUUACUGGGUGUAAAGGGAGCGCAGGCGGGAAGACAAGUUGGAAGUGAAAUCCAUGGGCUCAACCCAUGAACUGCUUUCAAAACUGUUUUUCUUGAGUAGUGCAGAGGUAGGCGGAAUUCCCGGUGUUGCGGUGGAAUGCGUAGAUAUCGGGAGGAACACCAGUGGCGAAGGCGGCCUACUGGGCACCAACUGACGCUGAGGCUCGAAAGUGUGGGUAGCAAACAG
Molecule: ribosomal RNA, 695 nt
Filed under: uncultured Lachnospiraceae bacterium
Lineage: Bacteria; Bacillati; Bacillota; Clostridia; Lachnospirales; Lachnospiraceae
Description: bacterial SSU rRNA
Rfam family: Bacterial small subunit ribosomal RNA
Source: RNAcentral